GACGAACGCUGGCGGCGUGCCUAAUACAUGCAUGUCGAGCGCAGGAAAUCGAGGGAACCCUUCGGGGGGAAGUCGACGGAAUGAGCGGCGGACGGGUGAGUAACACGUAAAGAACCUGCCCUCAGGUCUGGGAUAACCACGAGAAAUCGGGGCUAAUACCGGAUGGGUCAUCGGACCGCAUGGUACGAGGAUGAAAGGCGCUUCGGCGUCGCCUGGGGAUGGCUUUGCGGUGCAUUAGCUAGUUGGUGGGGUAAUGGCCCACCAAGGCGACGAUGCAUAACCGACCGGGGAGGGUGAUCGGCCACACUGGGACUGAGACACGGCCCAGACUCCUACGGGAGGAAGCAGUAGGGAAGCUUCCACAAUGGACGAAAGUCUGAUGGAGCAACGCCGCGUGAACGAUGAAGGCCUUCGGGUCGUAAAGUUCUGUUGUAAGGGAAGAACAAGUGCCGCAGGCAAUGGCGGCACCUUGACGGUACCUUGCGAGAAAGCCACGGCUAACUACGUGCCAGCCGCCGCGGUAA
This 524-nucleotide ribosomal RNA is filed under the name uncultured bacterium. RNAcentral describes it as "partial 16S ribosomal RNA". It matches the Rfam family "Bacterial small subunit ribosomal RNA", at positions 28 to 523 of the family's 1533-position model. The record is from RNAcentral.